AGAAGGACAAUUUCAAGUAAAUUUUAUGUCAUUGAAAGCUCAUCCAGAAGAUUUUACUAAAUACUACAGGAUGUCUAUUACAACAUUCGACGAAUUAUUAAUUUCACUUGUUAGGCCGCUUAUCUCACAAGACAAGUUAUUAAUAUGCGUAGUUCAAUAUCAGAAGAAGAACGAUUAACCAUAACUUUAAGAUAUUUUAGCAACUGGAACGCAUUUCUCAUCUCUGAAUUUUGAAUUUCUGGCGGGAGUGUCUACUAUAGCUAUGAUUGUGCGGGAAACUUGUGAAGUUUUAUGGGAAGUAUUACAACCUAAGGAAAUGGCAGAACCGACAACAGACGACUGGAAAGAUGUUGCAAAAGGUUUUUUUGAAAAAACGCAAUUUCCAAAUACUGUUGGCGCCGCGGAUGGUAAACAUAUACGACUUGAGUGCCCGAAAAAUAGUGGAUCAUUGUAUUACAAUUAUAAGCAUUUUUUUCAUUGAUUCUGAUGGAUAUUUGCGACUCUAACUACUACUUUAGAGUAAUUGAUGUGGGCUCUUGCGGGAAGGAGAGUGACUGCAAUGUCUUCAAAACAUCUGCAUUUGGCAAAAAACUUUACACGAACAGACCAAACUUUCCAGCUAAUGAAUGCUUACCAAAUGACAAUCUUGGUGUACCACAACCAUUUGUAUUAAUGGCUGAUGAAGCAUUUGCUCUGCAUAAAAAUUUAUUAAGGCCGUUUCUAGGAAAAAGUUUAAAUGACCAGAGAAGAAUAUUUAAUUACAGAUUAUCUAGAGCCCGUCAGUAUAUUGAAUGUUCCUUUGGUAUUGUGUCAAAAAAGUGGAGAGUUUUCCAGACCAGCAUGCUUGUAGAACCAGAAACUGCGGUUAAAAUUACAAAAGCCUGCUGUGUACUUCAUAAUUUUGUGCGACGGCAUGAUGGGUUUAACACUAAAGACACCCAAAGUUCCAUGCAAAGCAUAACUGAAAGAAGGGGAGUGGGAAACUCUCCAACCAAUGUUAAAGAUGUCAGAGAGUACUUUGUGCAAUAUGUUAAUGAUACAAACCAUGCGCUUGACUG
Long non-coding RNA from Metopolophium dirhodum (rose-grain aphid), 1058 nucleotides. RefSeq lists it as uncharacterized. Lineage: Eukaryota; Metazoa; Arthropoda; Insecta; Hemiptera; Aphididae. The record is from RefSeq and is a predicted model, not a curated record. The transcript has 4 exons.